RNA transcript from Leptopilina heterotoma, 2533 nucleotides. It is a transcript of the gene named GPI mannosyltransferase 2, with no coding region annotated. The record is from RefSeq and is a predicted model, not a curated record. The transcript is spliced from 3 exons. NCBI's taxonomy places the organism in Eukaryota, Metazoa, Arthropoda, Insecta, Hymenoptera, Figitidae.
AAGUUCCCAACCCUGUUGGAACAUCUGAUUGACAACAUCAACAAAUAAGUAAUAAACUGUCAUUUUCGUGAUAAAUUGUUCUUUUUAAACAAAUAUAUUUUCAAACAAUUACCUCUUAAAAUACAAUUCAUCGUCUAUAAGUCUGUCACUAAGAAACUUAUUAACUGAACUUUGACAUAAAAAACUAAGUAUUGAACGAAGUAAUUUUAUUACAUCAAAAAACUAAGUUUUAAACGAUUGUUACUUAAAAUAGCAGAACAACAAUGUUUCUGUUAUGAUUCGCCGAUUCGUUUAAUCAAUAUUACAAUAUUCAAGGAGAUUUCUGCCUGAAAUUAUAUAAUUAGCAAGGCGGCGUGGCGCCGUACGGUGUGCAGAGCAGGUGAUGCGCCUGUAACGAGUUCCUAUAGAAAUCUGAUUCUUUUGUCCCGUCUAUUAUAUUCUACCGUCCAAUUUUCGUAUACCUGACUAUAGAUAGGCAUUCGUUCCUUGCCUUCGAAUAACGGCAAAAUUUUAGUACAAAACUAGACUCUGAACUGUCAAGUCGUGCGUUUAUAUCUAUUCAGUUUAUAUCUAUUUUCGUCGUGAUUUAAAAAAUGAGUCAAUCCAAGUGUAGUAGAGAAAAACGAGCACUUACGGGCUUCCAUAAAUCGCGACCAAAGAAGAGGAAAAACGUUUUCAAUCCAAAAACAGCUGAGACUGAUGAAAAAAAUUUUAGUGCCUGCGCGAAAAAAUUCAAAAAUCAAGACGAACUCAUUGUUCCACGUGAUGUGUCGAUUGAAUAUAGAAUUUUAAAUUUCAUAACUGUCUUUGCAUCAAUCUCGGAGUUUGUAAAAUGUAAAGACUGUGGUGGAAAUGUGUCAUUUAAAACUGAUAGUCAAAGAGGACUUGGUUUUAAAAUUAUUAUCGUAUGUGACAAGUGUGCGAAUAGAUGUGUCAAUUCGAGUCCCUUAAUCGGACAUUCUUAUGAAAUAAAUAGACGUUUUAUAUUUGUGAUGAGAGUGCUCGGAUUAGGGUUGAACGGUUGUGCAAAAUUUUGUGGAUUAAUGGAUAUGCCCGGUUUCCUAAGUCAGAGUUCAUAUGAUUCUAUAGUAAAAAGUAUACACGGUUGUGUGAAAAUAGUCAGCGAAAAACUUUUCCAACGCGCUGCAACGGAAGAAAAGGAGAAAAAUUCUGAACAGAAGGAGAAAACUGAAGGUUUGACAGUGUCUGCUGAUGGUACAUGGAAGAAACGAGGAUAUUCUUUGUAUGGUGUGACAUCGCUAAUCGGCUAUUAUACUGGAAAAAUUCUCGAUCUUUCGGUGAAGAGUUCUAACUGCAAAGAGUGCGAAGUUUGGAGUGAGAAAGAAGGUACUGCAGAAUUUGAAGAAUGGCAAGAAUCUCAUCAAGAUAAUUGUUCUGCAAAUCAAGAGGGGUCCUCUGGAAAAAUUGAUGCAGCGGUGGAAAUGUUCAAGCGCUCAGAGGAGAAACAUAAAGUGCAGUAUAAAAACUACAUUGAAGACGGCGAUUCGAAAAUUUACGGCGAAAUUCUAAAAGCUGCACCUUACGGUAAAAAUGAGGUAGUGAAGAAAGAGUGUAUUGUCAACGUCCAGAAGAGAAUGGACACACGACUUCGAGAAUGUGUUAAAAAAAAUUUAGAAGAUGUUGACAAAAGUGGUAAAACGAGACAAAGAAACGUUGUUGGUGAAAAAGAAAAACUCCCUGCGAAAUUAAUCGACAAGUUAACUGUUUAUUACGGUUUAGCGAUGAGAAGAAAUUGUGACUCUGUGGAGAAUAUGCGUAAUGCGAUUAUGGCAACAUACGAACAUUACUGUUCUACAGAUGAGAAUCUACAACAUGAGAAGUGUCCCAUUGGAAAAGAUUCUUGGUGCUCUUGGCAACGCGCAGCAGCUGAGAAUGAAUUACAAUCAUUUGAACAUGAUUAUAAACCGUUUCCAACUGAAGUUGCUAAAGCACUGUUACCAAUUUAUAAAGAUCUUAGCAGUGACAACUUAUUGGAAAGAUGCAUUGGUGGCUUUACACAAAACAAUAACGAAAGCUACAACCAACUGAUUUGGAACAUCAGUCCAAAAAUUAUCCCAAGUGGGGAUAAAAUUGUUGAAAUGGCAGCAUUAAUAGCAUCUUGUAUUUUUAACGAAGGGUCAACAUCACUAUUGUAUAUUAUGAAUGCAUUGGGAAUAUCACUUGGACCGAAUUUCCAUUCGUAUGCAGAAUGUACAUCGAACUUCGAUCUCAAAGGAAAGGGCGCAUUAGAACACCAGGGAGGUGCAUAAGAUUAAAAUUCUGGAAGCUGCAACUGGAAUGGACGACUCACUUUAUGGUCCUGGAAUAGAUGAAUUGAUAUAAUUCUGUCAGAAUUUAUGUUGCUCACCGAGAGAACCAUUUUUUUCGAGGACCUUUUGGCAAUCGCAUUUAUAAAGGACAGAAAAAUUAAUAUUUUUGUAAAUUAAAAAUUAUUUUAAAAACACUAAAAGAUGUAUAUAUGUAAUAUAGAAAAACUUUCAUUUUAAGAAAUAAAUAUUCCCUUAAAAAAAAA